CCUACGGGAGGCAGCAGUAGGGAAUCUUUCACAAUGGGCGAAAGCCUGAUGGAGCAACGCCGCGUGCAGGAUGAAGGCCUUCGGGUUGUAAACUUCUUUUAAAGCGAGAAUUAUGAUUGUCACUUAUGAAUAAGUAUCUGCUACCUACGUGCAAGCAGCCGCUGUCAUACGUAGGAUCCGAGCAUUAUCCGGAGUGACUGGGUGUAAAGAGUUGCGUAGGUGGCAUAAUAAGUAGCUAGUGAAAUCUGGUGGCUCAACCAUUCAGACUAUUGGCUAAACUGUUAAGCUCGAGAACGUUAGGGGUAACUGGAAUUUCUAGUGUAGGAGUGAAAUCCGUAGAUAUUAGAAGGAACACCGAUAGCGUAGGCAGGUUACUGGGACGGUUCUGACACUAAGGCACGAAAGCGUAGGGAGCAAACGGGAUUAGAUACCCUUGUAGUC
This 441-nucleotide ribosomal RNA is filed under the name uncultured bacterium. RNAcentral describes it as "partial 16S ribosomal RNA". It matches the Rfam family "Bacterial small subunit ribosomal RNA", at positions 338 to 795 of the family's 1533-position model. The record is from RNAcentral.